GAAGUAAACCUGGAUAUCAGCAGUCAAGGUCGAGUGAGUGAGGUGGCCCACUUGUAUUAUGCCUGCAGGGGCUGAACCCCCUCAUGGACCAGCUGAUGGAGCCAGUUUAUCACCCUUGAGCUGCCCCUGUGAGGCUUCCAGAAGUAUUACAGGACUCUGUGGUGAAGCCUGUACCUUUUCUGUUUGAAGGUGCCAUCUGGGCAGCCUUUGGCAAUGGCUGAGGAGUUGUGGCGAGUCGGGGAGGGAGGGAGGAGCGAGGGUCCACUCGAGUUUCAGCAAUGCCACAUCACCUUGUCUCCCCUUAACCCAGGGAUACUCUGCGACGGCGGCCUCGGAGUGCAGCCCCAGCGUGUGAGCCGAGGACCGGGGUGUUCUCAGGAGCCGGUGAGUAGUGGAAUUGUUGGGUUUUGGCUGAUGUGCUGCUGAGUUCAGGCACUGAUGUUUGGUUUUCUUUAUUGCAGUAGACUGAGAGAACAGCCCUCUGAGGGCAGGAACUUCCCAGAUGAUGAGGCAGCUUUCUUUUGCACCUGAUGAGGAUUUGCAUCCCUGGAUAUCCGAGAGCUAAAUGCAGAUGGAUUGAAUCUGUGGCAGAGCGCCCCAUACCAGGCAGUAAUGCUGAAUAUCAGUGGUCAAGGUCGAUGGAGCGAGGUGGUCCACUGGGCAGGUGUCCCGGCCCUGGGAUGCUGGAGGCCAGGUGCUGCUGCUGCCCUGGGCAUGCCAAGGGACAGAGGCGAGCAGGUAUUGUCCGGGCCACCUCCGGAGUCGGAUGGAGAUUUGAGCUGCCCAAGUGGGCUGUGGGCCAUGUAUUGACAUCCAUGGUGCUGAAGCAUUCUUUUCUGUCGAGGAUGGAUUUCGUCUGCAGGUCUUCAGAGAGCUAAGUGUGGGGACUGUUGGUUGGGAGAAAGCAAAAACCUUUGGAAUCACAGGAGGCAAUUUGAAGUUAGCUGAGAGGAGAGGGCUGUAGUGGGCCAGGCCCCUUGGAGGUUAAGGGAGAGAGGGUUUCUCUUCAGCAUCACUCGAGCCUUUGCCGGGCCGGGCAGUUCCAACCCAUCUCCAUGUUCUUGUGAGCUUCGCAUCAUUGGAUGUUGAGUCUCGAUGUCAUUGUCCAUCUUUUCACCCGAGGAGCCUGCCUUCGGGUCUGGCAUGAUUGCCAUGGUCUAAAUUUUGCCUACUCUUCAGUGUAGCCAUGCUUUUGAGCACUUUUGAGCGUAGCACACGGGCAUCUUGCGUCUUGGCCAUUUGUUGGUUGGUCAUGUUUUGUGAUGUCACUUCAGCCUUUGGUGGCAGAAUCAUUCUCUAGGGAUCCCUUUGUAUCAGCUGGCAGUUGUUGCCUCCUUCUCUAGGCCUACUGCGCUUCUUGAGCAUCCUCUUACCAGCUUUAGCACUAACUUCUCAUAAGGAGUUUACCUUUCACUGU
RNAcentral lists this long non-coding RNA (1417 nucleotides) under Corvus moneduloides (New Caledonian crow). Its description in RNAcentral is "lncRNA (ENSCMUG00000019160.1)". The record is from RNAcentral. Lineage: Eukaryota; Metazoa; Chordata; Aves; Passeriformes; Corvidae.